Molecule: ribosomal RNA, 244 nt
Filed under: uncultured bacterium
Lineage: Bacteria
Description: partial 16S ribosomal RNA
Rfam family: Bacterial small subunit ribosomal RNA
Source: RNAcentral
CAACACGUAUCCAACCUGCCGUCUACUCUUGGACAGCCUUCUGAAAGGAAGAUUAAUACAAGAUGGCAUCAUGAGUCCGCAUGUUCACAUGAUUAAAGGUAUUCCGGUAGACGAUGGGGAUGCGUUCCAUUAGAUAGUAGGCGGGGUAACGGCCCACCUAGUCUUCGAUGGAUAGGGGUUCUGAGAGGAAGGUCCCCCACAUUGGAACUGAGACACGGUCCAAACUCCUACGGGAGGCAGCAUG